This is a non-coding RNA of Otolemur garnettii (small-eared galago), 305 nucleotides long. Lineage: Eukaryota; Metazoa; Chordata; Mammalia; Primates; Galagidae. The record is from Rfam.
GCCAGGCACGGUGGCAAGUGCCUGUAGUCCCAGCUACCUGGGAGGCUGAAGACAGGAGGAUCGCUUGAGUCCAGGAGUCCUGUGCUGUAGUGUGCUAUGCCAAUCGGUGUCUGAACUAAGUUUGGCAUCAAUAUGGUGACCUCCUGGGACCUGGGGGGCACCAGGUUGCCUAAGGAGGGGUGAAUCGGCCCAGGUCAGAAAUGGAGCAGGUCAAAGCUCCCAUCCUGAUCAGUAGUGGGAUCGUGCCUGUGAAUAGCCACUGUACUGCAGUACAGCCUGGGCAACACAGUGAGAUACCGUCUCUU